AGAGUUUGAUCCUGGCUCAGAACGAACGCUGGCGGCAUGCCUAACACAUGCAAGUCGAACGCCCGUCUUCGGACGGGAGUGGCGCACGGGUGCGUAACGCGUGGGAAUCUGCCCAAAGGUACGGAAUAACUCAGGGAAACUUGUGCUAAUACCGUAUGAUGCCGAAAGGCCAAAGAUUUAUCGCCUUUGGAUGGGCCCGCGUCGGAUUAGCUAGUUGGUGGGGUAAAGGCCUACCAAGGCGACGAUCCAUAGCUGGUCUGAGAGGAUGAUCAGCCACACUGGGACUGAGACACGGCCCAGACUCCUACGGGAGGCAGCAGUGGGGAAUAUUGGACAAUGGGCGAAAGCCUGAUCCAGCAAUGCCGCGUGAGUGAUGAAGGCCUUAGGGUUGUAAAGCUCUUUUACCCGGGAUGAUAAUGACAGUACCGGAGAAUAGCCGC
This 440-nucleotide ribosomal RNA is filed under the name uncultured bacterium. Its description in RNAcentral is "bacterial SSU rRNA". It matches the Rfam family "Bacterial small subunit ribosomal RNA", at positions 8 to 494 of the family's 1533-position model. The record is from RNAcentral.